GGAGAGGUGGCUGAGUGGCUGAAAGCGCUCCCCUGCUAAGGGAGUUUAUAUGGAAACAUGUAACGAGGGUUCGAAUCCCUCCCUCUCCGCAA
RNAcentral lists this transfer RNA (92 nucleotides) under Balneola sp. EhC07. RNAcentral's name for it is "tRNA-Ser". It matches the Rfam family "tRNA". Rfam says of the family: Transfer RNA (tRNA) molecules are approximately 80 nucleotides in length. Their secondary structure includes four short double-helical elements and three loops (D, anti-codon, and T loops). The record is from RNAcentral. RNAcentral also lists the same sequence under 2 other names. Lineage: Bacteria; Pseudomonadati; Balneolota; Balneolia; Balneolales; Balneolaceae.